Molecule: ribosomal RNA, 1000 nt
Filed under: uncultured bacterium
Lineage: Bacteria
Description: bacterial SSU rRNA
Rfam family: Bacterial small subunit ribosomal RNA
Source: RNAcentral
AGUGAGGAAUAUUGCGCAAUGGGGGCAACCCUGACGCAGCCAUGCCGCGUGAAUGAAGAAGGCCUUAGGGUUGUAAAAUUCUUUCAGAUGCGAAGAUAAUGACGGUAACAUCAGAAGAAGCUCCGGCUAAAUUCGUGCCAGCAGCCGCGGUAAUACGAAUGGAGCGAGCGUUGUUCGGAAUCAUUGGGCGUAAAGCGUAUGUAGGUGGAACAGAAAGUCAGAAGUGAAAUCCCGAGGCUCAACCUCGGAAUUGCUUUUGAAACUUCUGUUCUAGAGUCCCGGAGGGGUAAGGGGAAUUCCGAGUGUAGAGGUGAAAUUCGCAGAUAUUCGGAGGAACACCAGUGGCGUAGGCGCCUUACUGGACGGGAACUGACACUGAGAUACGAAAGCGUGGGUAGCAAACAGGAUUAGAUACCCUGGUAGUCCACGCCGUAAACGAUGUGUGCUAGUUGUCGGGUCCAUAGGAUUCGGUGACGCAGCUAACGCACUAAGCACACCGCCUGGGGAGUACGGUCGCAAGAUUAAAACUCAAAGGAAUUGACGGGGACCCGCACAAGCGGUGGAGCAUGUUGUUUAAUUCGAAGCAACGCGAAGAACCUUACCUACACUUGACAUACUCGUCGGGGAUUACAGAGAUGUUUUCCUUCGGUUCGGCCGGACGAUGUACAGGUGCUGCACGGCUGUCGUCAGCUCGUGUCGUGAGAUGUUUGGUUAAGUCCAGCAACGAGCGCAACCCCUAUCGUAUGUUGCCAGCAUUUAGUUGGGCACUCAUGCGAGACUGCCGGUGUUAAGCCGGAGGAAGGUGGGGACGACGUCAAGUCAUCAUGGCCCUUACGUGUAGGGCUACAAACGUGCUACAAUGGAUACUACAGUGGGCAGCGACAUCGCGAGGUGAAGCUAAUCCCUAAAAGUAUUCUCAGUUCGGAUAGGACUCUGCAACUCGAGUCCUUGAAGUCGGAAUCGCUAGUAAUCGUGGAUCAGCAUGCCACGGUGAAUACGU